RNAcentral lists this long non-coding RNA (522 nucleotides) under Cricetulus griseus (Chinese hamster). RNAcentral's name for it is "lncRNA (ENSCGRG00015030127.1)". Lineage: Eukaryota; Metazoa; Chordata; Mammalia; Rodentia; Cricetidae. The record is from RNAcentral.
CUUGCUUCAGAGUUUUCCAUUUGAAAUAGUAAAAUUCCGGAAUCGGGAGUCAGGCAGAUUUUUUUUUUUUUCUCUUUCUCACAUCCAAAAGGACGAUGGUUAGCUGGAUGAUUCGCUCUUAGAUAGGAAGGGAUCUAUCGUCUCUCAUUGGACAUACUAACUUUGCAUGAAGUCUGUGGAAGUUCUGCAGUUUCACCCUGCCCCCCGUGACCUUCCGAAACUGCCCCCGUGACCUUCCAGUUUCUUAGUACUGCCACAGGGAAGCACCGUGGAGCUAAUAAAAGAUUUGAUAUUGUCAUAAUUUUUCAAUCAGGGGAUCAACAAAUUGAUCAAGAAACUGCCCAGGCCAAUCUCACAAGACAGCAGGCUGCCUUCUUUAUUAUGGAAAUCAGCAAGUGACAACACCAGCUGACACACCAACAUGGAUGGGAGAAAUGUCGCCAGGCCCUGCACCAAGAUGAAGAGCCACAAGCAGCUAAUGGCUGAUGAGAGGAAAGUCAGUACUGUUCAAGGGUGAGCCCC